AUAUCGCCUGUUCCAAAGCGAUGCUGGACGAGGAUUUGCAUUUCAAGGAGCUGUCUCAUUUUCCCGAGCCUUAGAGCCAAGCCGAUUCCAUCGAGUUUCUCUUCCGCCGCUUGUGGUGGCUCCUGGCAGUGAGGUAGGUCAGUGGCUUGCUGGGAAGGGCUCGAUCACAGUUCCAGCAGCUGGUUUUCCUCCGGGAAUCAAUAGCUCUGUGAGAGCUCGGAUCUGUGAAUCAGCAACAUUGGGCAGCAUCAGUGUGCUAGUGCCAGCGAGUCUAUCUUCCAGCAACGAUUCUUCAUCCGGGAAGCAGUAGCCUUGUAGAAACAUUGGUUGUGCAUCUGAGGUAGUGAGCAGCACCAUUGUACUUGUGCCGACGAUUCCACCUACCGGCAGUGAGUCAACAUCGGGGAGUUAGGACUUUGAUCAGGACGAGCGUCGUGACGAGAUUGGCGUCGGAUUCAGCCUACAUUUGAGG
Long non-coding RNA from Zingiber officinale, 472 nucleotides. RefSeq lists it as uncharacterized. Lineage: Eukaryota; Viridiplantae; Streptophyta; Magnoliopsida; Zingiberales; Zingiberaceae. The transcript is spliced from 5 exons. The record is from RefSeq and is a predicted model, not a curated record.